UGCUGUAUUACGUCAGCAGGCCACGCCCA
RNAcentral lists this small RNA (29 nucleotides) under Bombyx mori (domestic silkworm). RNAcentral's name for it is "ovarian small RNA-34240". The record is from RNAcentral. Lineage: Eukaryota; Metazoa; Arthropoda; Insecta; Lepidoptera; Bombycidae.